AAUAUGCACAAUGGGGGAAACCUGAUGCAGCGACGCCGCGUGAGGGAUGACGGCCUUCGGGUUGUAAACCUCUUUCAGUAGGGAAGAAGCCUUUCGAGGUGACGGUACCUGCAGAAGAAGUACCGGCUAACUACGUGCCAGCAGCCGCGGUAAUACGUAGGGUACAAGCGUUGUCCGGAAUUAUUGGGCGUAAAGAGCUCGUAGGCGGUCCGUCGCGUCUGCUGUGGAAACGCAAGGCUCAACCUUGCGCGUGCAGUGGGUACGGGCGGACUAGAGUGCAGUAGGGGAGUCUGGAAUUCCUGGUGUAGCGGUGAAAUGCGCAGAUAUCAGGAGGAACACCGGUGGCGAAGGCGGGACUCUGGGCUGUUACUGACGCUGAGGAGCGAAAGCAUGGGGAGCGAACAGGAUUAGAUACCCUGGUAGUCCAUGCCGUAAACGUUGGGCACUAGGUGUGGGGCUCAUUCCACGAGUUCCGCGCCGCAGCUAACGCAUUAAGUGCCCCGCCUGGGGAGUACGGCCGCAAGGCUAAAACUCAAAGGAAUUGACGGGGGCCCGCACAAGCGGCGGAGCAUGCGGAUUAAUUCGAUGCAACGCGAAGAACCUUACCAAGGCUUGACAUACACCGGAAUGUGCCAGAGAUGGUUCAGCCCUUUGGGCUGGUGUACAGGUGGUGCAUGGUUGUCGUCAGCUCGUGUCGUGAGAUGUUGGGUUAAGUCCCGCAACGAGCGCAACCCUCGUUCUAUGUUGCCAGCACGUGAUGGUGGGAACUCAUAGGAGACUGCCGGGGUCAACUCGGAGGAAGGUGGGGAUGACGUCAAAUCAUCAUGCCCUUUAUGUCUUGGGCUUCACGCAUGCUACAAUGGUCGGUACAAAGGGUUGCGAGACCGUGAGGUGGAGCGAAUCCCAGAAAGCCGAUCUCAGUUCGGAUCGUAGUCUGCAACUCGACUACGUGAAGUCGGAGUCGCUAGUAAUCGCAGAUCAG
This 982-nucleotide ribosomal RNA is filed under the name uncultured bacterium. RNAcentral describes it as "bacterial SSU rRNA". It matches the Rfam family "Bacterial small subunit ribosomal RNA", at positions 359 to 1352 of the family's 1533-position model. The record is from RNAcentral.